UGCCAUUCUACGGAGUACUCUGUACUACGUGCGGAUUGCUAUCUUAGCAGUGACUCCUGAGUGAACAAUUUUCGGCUGGUUUGACUCCUAUUUGAGCUAGGAACCAAACGAUCACCAAAGCAAUGAGGUUGGUGGGGAGUUUGGCUGGUCUGUCCAGUGUCCAUGGGACCUGGGCUUGUUGUGGCGAGAUAAGACGUCCUCAACCGUUAGCUUCCCGGCGGAAGCGAAUAUUGCCCAUCAUGGAUGAACAGUUCAAAGCAUAGGACAAUUACCUUCAUUCACGCGGCUAACCACUGGAGAUACAAUGGGAGUUCACGAUGCAGAUGAUCGAUCCUUAUCAAGAUAACGCCCAGUAGCAGCAGUUCUACCCUGACAUCUUGUACCCUGCCACCCAUUCCCACAUGGCCUGCCGAUGACGAUAUCUACCUUACAUAUUCAAUCACCUGGCUCAUGGGAAAUCUGUGUGUCGAUCUUUUUGAUUUAUUCUUCUUCUAGCUCUCGUCGUCAUCGAUGUAAUAAUAUCAUCAAAUUGCGAGAUAUCGCGGUUAAAUUGCGCAGAGAGCGGUCGAAAGUGAUGGCUCUUUGUCCUCCGGGUAAAAGAGUUUUGUUUAUUAUGAUUUCCCUCUGGCACGGGCAUUGUUUACAGGUGGCUCUAACUACCACGGACCAGGGACUGUCUUUUUUUUUUUUUGUUUAUCAUCAUCAACUCGGCAC
RNAcentral lists this small RNA (714 nucleotides) under Histoplasma capsulatum var. duboisii H88. Its description in RNAcentral is "Histoplasma capsulatum H88 hypothetical RNA". Lineage: Eukaryota; Fungi; Ascomycota; Eurotiomycetes; Onygenales; Ajellomycetaceae. The record is from RNAcentral.